GACGAACGCUGGCGGCGUGCCUAAUACAUGCAAGUUGAGCGAUGAAGAUUGGUGCUUGCACCAAUUUGAAGAGCAGCGAACGGGUGAGUAACGCGUGGGGAAUCUGCCUUUGAGCGGGGGACAACAUUUGGAAACGAAUGCUAAUACCGCAUAACAACUUUAAACAUAAGUUUUAAGUUUGAAAGAUGCAAUUGCAUCACUCAAAGAUGAUCCCGCGUUGUAUUAGCUAGUUGGUGAGGUAAAGGCUCACCAAGGCGAUGAUACAUAGCCGACCUGAGAGGGUGAUCGGCCACAUUGGGACUGGGAUACGGCCCAAACUCCUACGGGAGGCAGCAGUAGGGAAUCUUCGGCAAUGGACGAAAGUCUGACCGAGCAACGCCGCGGGAGUGAAGAAGGUUGUCGGAUCGUAAAACUCUGUUGGUAGAGAAGAACGCUGGUGAGAGUGGAAAGCUCAUCAAGUGACGGUAACUACCCAGAAAGGGACGGCUAACUACGUG
This 497-nucleotide ribosomal RNA is filed under the name uncultured bacterium. RNAcentral describes it as "partial 16S ribosomal RNA". It matches the Rfam family "Bacterial small subunit ribosomal RNA", at positions 28 to 507 of the family's 1533-position model. The record is from RNAcentral.